GCAAAAUCGAGAUUUGUAUAAAGUGCUGUGGAAGUGCAGACUAAGCAGGGGUUGACUUUCUAGAAAGUUAGGGGAGUGAUCCAGUUUUAAUCUGCUCUCAAUCCUACUUCGUAGUUUCCUUGUGCAUACUCUGAGAAGUUUGAUUGUCUGAAGCCUUCUGCUCUCAACUCGUCAAAGUCAUCCUCCUUCCAGCUUUGUUCCGUUCCUGGUGAGGAGCUGCGUUCCUUUGGAGGAGGAGAGGUGAUUGUGGUGAGCAUGCACCCACUUUUGCAGCUAUCUAAUAAAAAGAUGGAAAUAGUUGGACAACUCAUAUCAACUAUGAGAAUGACUGGUGAUGACUGAUAGUAAGAGCUGGCUACUCAUGCUAACGUUUGUUGCUAGGUUAACUGUAAAACAGUCUCAUGCAGGUCCUUCAGGAGGUGUUACAGAAGAAGGCGUUGUUAUUGGAGAUGGCAGCCCCAUGCACAUUAUUGCCCCCAAAAGCCCUCCACUGGGACAAGAUGUGGAGGAGGACAAUGAUAUUGAUGAUCCUGACCCCGUGAGAAUAUAUAAAAAACUGGAGGCCAAGAUACUUCCUUUUGAAGACAGAUGGCUCAUUCAUAGGAUAUAAAGAGAAACCUCAAGAUGUGGAUUUACCUUAUCCCCUCAACAACUUUUCAGUGGCAA
Molecule: unclassified non-coding RNA, 666 nt
Filed under: Homo sapiens (human)
Lineage: Eukaryota; Metazoa; Chordata; Mammalia; Primates; Hominidae
Description: AKT serine/threonine kinase 3 (ENSG00000275199.4)
Source: RNAcentral